GACGAACGCUGGCGGCGUGGGAUUAGGCAUGCAAGUCGAACGGUAGGAUACCUUCGGGUAUCUGAGAGUGGCGAACGGGUGAGUAACACGUAGGUGAUCUACCCUCAAGAUUGGGACAACCCAGGGAAACUUGGGCUAAUACCGGAUGAAAGCAGCAGUGAUGUUGUUUGAAAGGUGGCGUAAGCUGCCGUUUGGGGAUGAGCCUGCGCUCUAUUAGUUAGUUGGCGGGGUAAAGGCCCACCAAGGCGAUGAUAGAUAGGCGGCCUUAACGGGUGGUCGCCCACACUGGGAUUGAGAUACGGCCCAGACUCCUACGGGAGGCAGCAGUCGAGAAUAGUCUACAAUGGCCGAAAGGCUGAUAGUGCGACGCCGCGUGAACGAAGAAGCCCUUCGGGGUGUAAAGUUCUUUUAUAUGUGAGCAGUGCUUUCUAUGUGAACAGCAUGGGGAGAGAGAUAUUAGCAUAUGAAUAAGCAACGGCUAACUCCGUG
This 489-nucleotide ribosomal RNA is filed under the name uncultured bacterium. RNAcentral's name for it is "bacterial SSU rRNA". It matches the Rfam family "Bacterial small subunit ribosomal RNA", at positions 28 to 507 of the family's 1533-position model. The record is from RNAcentral.